This 284-nucleotide unclassified non-coding RNA is filed under the name plant metagenome. RNAcentral describes it as "partial contains small subunit ribosomal RNA and internal transcribed spacer 1". The stretch from base 1 to 53 matches the Rfam family "Eukaryotic small subunit ribosomal RNA", at positions 1778 to 1831 of the family's 1831-position model. The record is from RNAcentral.
GGAAGUAAAAGUCGUAACAGGUUUCCGUAGGUGAACCUGCGGAAGGAUCAUUAUUGUAUAACCGAGGUGCGAGGGCUGUCGCUGACCCGAAAGGUCGUGCACGCCCGAGUGCCCUCACACACAUCCAUCUCACCCCUAUGUGCACCACCGCGUGGGUCCCCCUUUGGCUUGUUCGGAGGGGGGCUUACGUUUUCACACAAACUUUGUAUGCAGUGUAGAAUGUAUUUUUUGUUUUUGCGAUCACGCAAUCAAUACAACUUUCAACAACGGUUCUCUUGGCUCUC